GGAAUAUUGCGCAAUGGGGGAAACCCUGACGCAGCCACGCCGCGUGGUGGAUGACACCCCUAUGGGGCGUAAACACCUUUUAUACGAGAAGAAACACCGACUCGGUCGGGACUGACGGUAUCGUAUGAAUAAGCACCGGCUAACUCCGUGCCAGCAGCCGCGGUAAUACGGAGGGUGCAAGCGUUGUCCGGAAUCACUGGGUGUAAAGGGUGUGUAGGCGGAUCAAUAAGUCAGAGGUGAAAUCCCACAGCUCAACUGUGGAACUGCCUUUGAUACUGCUGGUCUUGAGUAUCGGAGAGGUUACCAGAAUUCGUGGUGUAGCGGUGAAAUGCGUAGAUAUCACGAGGAAUACCAGAGGCGUAGGCGGGUAACUGGACGAUUACUGACGCUGAGGCACGAAAGCGUGGGGAGCAAA
RNAcentral lists this ribosomal RNA (415 nucleotides) under uncultured bacterium. Its description in RNAcentral is "bacterial SSU rRNA". It matches the Rfam family "Bacterial small subunit ribosomal RNA", at positions 358 to 772 of the family's 1533-position model. The record is from RNAcentral.